This 72-nucleotide transfer RNA is filed under the name Camelus ferus (Wild Bactrian camel). It matches the Rfam family "tRNA". From Rfam's summary of the family: Transfer RNA (tRNA) molecules are approximately 80 nucleotides in length. Their secondary structure includes four short double-helical elements and three loops (D, anti-codon, and T loops). Lineage: Eukaryota; Metazoa; Chordata; Mammalia; Artiodactyla; Camelidae. The record is from Rfam by way of RNAcentral.
GAGGGUAUAGCUCAGUGGUAGAAUGCAUGCUUAGCAUGCACGAGGUCCUGGGUUCAAUCCUCAGUAUUUCCA